GAUGAACGCUAGCGGGAGGCUUAAUACAUGCAAGUCGAGCGGGAUUCUCCUUCGGGAGAUGAGAGCGGCGCACGGGUGAGUAACGCGUACGUAACCUGCCUUACAGAGGGGAAUAGCCCUGGGAAACUGGGGAUUAAUACCUCAUAGUAUGUGAGAAUCGCAUGGUUUUCACAUUAAAGUUCCACGGUAAAAGAUGAGCAUGCGUCCCAUUAGCUAGAUGGUAAGGUAACGGCUUACCAUGGCGACGAUGGGUAGGGGUCCUGAGAGGGAGAUCCCCCACACUGGUACUGAGACACGGACCAGACUCCUACGGGAGGCAGCAGUGGGGAAUUUUGGACAAUGGACGCAAGUCUGAUCCAGCCAUUCCGCGUGCAGGAUGAAGGCCCUCGGGUUGUAAACUGCUUUUGUACGGAACGAAAAGGUUUCUAUUAAUACUAGGAGCUCAUGACGGUACCGUAAGAAUAAGCACCGGCUAACUACGUG
This 483-nucleotide ribosomal RNA is filed under the name uncultured bacterium. Its description in RNAcentral is "bacterial SSU rRNA". It matches the Rfam family "Bacterial small subunit ribosomal RNA", at positions 28 to 507 of the family's 1533-position model. The record is from RNAcentral.